GGUCAGUGAUGAACCGUAAAAGGUCUGAUUACCCACAAUCCCCUCCCAGCCGCCCCUGUGGCUCCCAGCGGCCCCUGCUCUCCUUUACCCAUCAUGCUCUAGUGAUGCAGCGCUGGGUCCAGGAGCCGCUGACAGACAGACAGGAUGUGACAUCACAGCCUCGAGUCUGUGGAGAGAGAUCCCAUUGGCUCAGAGUGACGAGGAGGCAUCCGACAGGAACCAAUCAGCACGGAGCGCCGGGGCGGCGGGGGGCGGAGCCGGGAGCUGAUCUCAAGUUUUCAAGCUGAGACC
This 291-nucleotide small nucleolar RNA is filed under the name Myripristis murdjan (pinecone soldierfish). RNAcentral's name for it is "Small Cajal body specific RNA 6 (ENSMMDG00005016811.1)". It matches the Rfam family "Small Cajal body specific RNA 6". From Rfam's summary of the family: U88 is small Cajal body specific RNA (scaRNA). scaRNAs are a novel class of small nuclear RNAs which localise to the Cajal bodies. U88 is found associated with both fibrillarin and Gar1p and co-localises with coilin in Cajal bodies. Lineage: Eukaryota; Metazoa; Chordata; Actinopteri; Holocentriformes; Holocentridae. The record is from Rfam by way of RNAcentral.